CGGGACGUGGCGCAGUUUGGUAGCGCACUUGCUUUGGGAGCAAGAUGUCGCAGGUUCAAAUCCUGUCGUCCCGACCA
This 77-nucleotide transfer RNA is filed under the name Coriobacteriaceae bacterium. Its description in RNAcentral is "tRNA-Pro". It matches the Rfam family "tRNA". From Rfam's summary of the family: Transfer RNA (tRNA) molecules are approximately 80 nucleotides in length. Their secondary structure includes four short double-helical elements and three loops (D, anti-codon, and T loops). Lineage: Bacteria; Bacillati; Actinomycetota; Coriobacteriia; Coriobacteriales; Coriobacteriaceae. The record is from RNAcentral.